This 1145-nucleotide long non-coding RNA is filed under the name Chinchilla lanigera (long-tailed chinchilla). RNAcentral describes it as "lncRNA (ENSCLAG00000025879.1)". The record is from RNAcentral. Lineage: Eukaryota; Metazoa; Chordata; Mammalia; Rodentia; Chinchillidae.
CACCGAUCUGAAAAUUAUGGAUGGGUGUGAGAUGCACCUAGGUACUCCAGGAGUUUAAGACCAAUACACACAAUAAUGACAUAAGGUCAACAUUGUAAAAGACAGUCAUCAAAUGACAGAAGUCCCUUCUUAACAGCUAAGCUGGAAGAUGUCUUGAUCUAGAAUAAUGUCUCUGGAUUCAAGAAUAAGGACUUCUGCUAAGGAAAAAGUCAGACUUUGGAAACUGCGGAAGGAAAGUUGAACGAGUUAGCUUUCUGCUACACAAAAAGCUAAUGAGAAUUCUAAACAUCACAGUGGUGUCUGUUGUAUGGCAGCAAAGUUGCGCCAUUACUGAUAUUCAGUGGAAAUGAAGGUGACUAGUAUGGGCCUUUGUGAAGCACACUACUACUUGGGAAGCUCAAUGAGGCACAGAGACCACCUGGGUUCCUCUAUUCAUUAUGUAUAUUCAUUCGGUUCAGAGAAAACCAAUUCUAAGAGAGAAUUCUUUUAUGCUCUAUAUUUUGUUACUACUGUAUAGCUUUUCUGUACUUAAAAACAAGGGAUUUUUGUUUUCUUGGGUUGAGAUGACUCCCUAGAGCACAGUUGCAUUUGUGGUGACCUAAUAAUGAUACUUACAUAGAGUCCAAGGAAUAAACUGUCACUGAAGAUGAAGUAAUUGGACAGAACUGGAUAGGGUCAAUGACUGGUCACCUCAGACACAAUUAUUAGGUCUACAUCUGACAUGCUUGCUGUGAAGUCUGAUUCCCCAAAGAACAGAUGAUCCACUGCUGACCAGAGAAGCUCAAGAACAAGUGGCACUAGUUUCCAGACUCAUCUAUGGUGUAGAGAAGACUGAGCACAUAUCUGAGCCAAACAAUACUGACCUUUGGAUCAUUCCGCAGGAGCUUAAUGGAAGACUUUCUUCUAAAUACCAAGAAAAGGAGCUAUUUGGCCGUCCAUGUCAUUACCAAAGCAAAGCAAGAACCUUCAGCACAGACUGCUGCAGUUUCCACCCUAACAGUGAACCCAACAAUUAAAACCAUUUGUUACAAGGACAACAAAACAAGUCAUUUUCUUUUUUUAUUUUAAAGAGAAGAUAAAUAAACAAUGAAACCAAGUUUUGAAACAGGUUAGUGGGACAAUAGUUGAUACAUUGCAUAUUGUUG